RNAcentral lists this ribosomal RNA (1401 nucleotides) under uncultured bacterium. RNAcentral's name for it is "bacterial SSU rRNA". It matches the Rfam family "Bacterial small subunit ribosomal RNA". The record is from RNAcentral.
ACCGACGAACGCUUGCGGCGUGCUUAACACAUGCAAGUCAAGGGGAACGUCCCUUCGGGGAAUUAUUAAACUGGCGAACGGGUGAGUAACUCGUAGGCAACCUGCCUUGGAGAUUGGGAUAACCCCGGGAAAGCGGGACUAAUACCGAAUAAUGCAGCGACUUCUUCGGAAGAUGCUGUUAAAGCGGGCUUCGGCUCGCACUUCAAGAUGGGCCUGCGCCCGAUUAGCUAGUUGGUAAGGUAAAAGCUUACCAAGGCUAUGACAGGUAGCGGGUGUGAGAGCAUGGCCCGUCUCACUGGGACUGAGACACUGCCCAGACUCGCGGCGGGAGGCUGCAGUCGAGAAUCUUCCUCAAUGGACGAAAGUCUGAAGGAGCAAUGCCGCGUGAUCGAUGAAGCCUUUAGGGGUGUAAAGAUCUUUUAUCAGGGAAGAAUCCGUGACGGUACCUGAUGAAUAAGUCACUGCUAACUACGUGCCAGCAGCAGCGGUAAUACGUAGGUGGCAAGCGUUACCCGGAUUAACUGGGCGUAAAGCGUCCGCAGACUGUCAUUCAAGUCUUUGGUUAAAUCUCGAGGCUCAACCUCGAGACCGCCAAAGAUACUGUAUGACUAGAGGCUGGGAGAGGCAAGCGGAAUUACUGGUGUAGUAGUAAAAUGCGUUAAUAUCAGUAAGAACACCAAAAGCGAAGGCAGCUUGCUAGAACAGUCCUGACGUUCAGGGACGAAAGCGUGGGGAGCGAAUGGGAUUAGAUACCCCAGUAGUCCACGCCGUAAACGUUGGAUACUAAAUAUUGGAAGUUUCGACCCUUUCAGUGUUGUUUACCUAAGCUAACGCCUUAAGUAUCCCGCCUGGGAAGUACGGCCGCAAGGCUAAAACUCAAAGGAAUUGACGGGAACCCGCACAAGCGGUGGAGCAUGUGGUUUAAUUCGAUGAUAAGCGGGGAACCUUACCAAGGCUUGACAUAUAGCUGCAAAUCCUAGGAAACUAGGACUCUUUCGAAGGUGCUAUACAGGUGCUGCAUGGUCGUCGUCAGCUCGUGUCGUGAGAUGUUGGGUUAAGUCCUUUAACGAGCGCAACCCUUAUCCUAUGUUAAAUGAUCAUGGGAGACUGCCCCGGUUUAACGGGGAGGAAGGUGAGGAUGACGUCAAAUCAGCAUGGCUCUUACGCCUUGGGCUACACACGUGCUACAAUGGUCAGUACAAUGGGUCGCAAAGUCGCGAGACGAAGCCAAUCCCAUCAAAACUGAUCUCAGUUCGGAUUGAAGUCUGCAACUCGACUUCAUGAAGUUGGAUCGCUAGUAACGCUGAUCAGCUACGCAGCGUUGAACGUUCUCGGGUGUUACACGCCGCCCGUCAGGCAGUUACGCGAUAUUCGACAAUCUGGNGNAAAAUUUUUUUUUUU